Molecule: ribosomal RNA, 379 nt
Filed under: uncultured eukaryote
Lineage: Eukaryota
Description: partial 18S ribosomal RNA
Rfam family: Eukaryotic small subunit ribosomal RNA
Source: RNAcentral
CAAUAGCGUAUAUUAAAGUUGUUGCAGUUAAAAAGCUCGUAGUUGGAUUUUGGGUUCCAGUUCUGUCCGGUUCACUUCGUGUGUUAACUGGCAGGUUGGCCCUUCUUCUCGAGGCGCAUAUGUGUACUUAACCGUACGUUUAUGUUGUCCGGGACUUUUACCGUGAGAAAAUUAGAGUGUUCAAAGCAGGCUAAUGCUUGAAUAUUGCAGCAUGGAAUAAUGGAAUAGGAUCAUGAUUCUAUUUUGUUGGUUUCUAGAAUCAAGAUAAUGAUUAAUAGGGAUAGUUGGGGGCGUUAAUAUUUAGUUGUCAGAGGUGAAAUUCUUAGAUUUACAAAAGAUUAACUUCUGCGAAAGCAUUCGCCAAGGAUGUUUUCGUUAA